This 343-nucleotide ribosomal RNA is filed under the name uncultured bacterium. RNAcentral describes it as "bacterial SSU rRNA". It matches the Rfam family "Bacterial small subunit ribosomal RNA", at positions 8 to 334 of the family's 1533-position model. The record is from RNAcentral.
AGAGUUUGAUUAUGGCUCAGGACGAACGCUGGCGGCGUGCUUAACACAUGCAAGUCGAACGAGAAUCUGUGGAAAGAGGAUUCGUCCAAUUGAAGCAGAGGACAGUGGCGGACGGGUGAGUAACGCGUGAGGAACCUGCCUUUCAGAGGGGGACAACAGUUGGAAACGACUGCUAAUACCGCAUGACACAUAGGUGUCGCAUGGCACUUAUGUCAAAGAUUUAUCGCUGAAAGAUGGCCUCGCGUCUGAUUAGCUAGUUGGUGAGGUAACGGCCCACCAAGGCGACGAUCAGUAGCCGGACUGAGAGGUUGAACGGCCACAUUGGGACUGAGAUACGGCCCAG